CAGCAGCCGCGGGAAUACAGAGGGUGCGAGCGUUAAUCGGAUUUACUGGGCGUAAAGCGUGCGUAGGCGGCUAAUUGAGUCGGAUGUGAAAUCCCCGAGCUUAACUUGGGAAUUGCAUUCGAUACUGGUUAGCUAGAGUGUGGGAGAGGAUGGUAGAAUUCCAGGUGUAGCGGUGAAAUGCGUAGAGAUCUGGAGGAAUACCGAUGGCGAAGGCAGCCAUCUGGCCUAAUACUGACGCUGAGGUACGAAAGCAUGGGGAGCAAACAGGAUUAGAUACCCCUGUAGUCCCUGUCUCUUAUAC
This 301-nucleotide ribosomal RNA is filed under the name uncultured bacterium. RNAcentral's name for it is "partial 16S ribosomal RNA". It matches the Rfam family "Bacterial small subunit ribosomal RNA", at positions 509 to 807 of the family's 1533-position model. The record is from RNAcentral.